RNAcentral lists this ribosomal RNA (484 nucleotides) under uncultured bacterium. RNAcentral describes it as "partial 16S ribosomal RNA". It matches the Rfam family "Bacterial small subunit ribosomal RNA", at positions 28 to 507 of the family's 1533-position model. The record is from RNAcentral.
AUUGAACGCUGGCGGCAUGCUUUACACAUGCAAGUCGAACGGCAGCGCGGGCUUCGGCCUGGCGGCGAGUGGCGAACGGGUGAGUAAUGCAUCGGAACGUGCCCAGUAUUGGGGGAUAGCCCGGCGAAAGCCGGAUUAAUACCGCAUACGACCUGAUGGUGAAAGCGGGGGACCGAAAGGCCUCGCGCGAUUGGAGCGGCCGAUGUCGGAUUAGCUAGUUGGUGGGGUAAAGGCUUACCAAGGCGACGAUCCGUAGCUGGUCUGAGAGGACGACCAGCCACACUGGGACUGAGACACGGCCCAGACUCCUACGGGAGGCAGCAGUGGGGAAUUUUGGACAAUGGGGGCAACCCUGAUCCAGCCAUGCCGCGUGCGGGAAGAAGGCCUUCGGGUUGUAAACCGCUUUUGUUCGGGAAGAAAUCCUCUGGGCUAAUACCCCGGGGGGAUGACGGUACCGGAAGAAUAAGCACCGGCUAACUACGUG